AAAAGGAGUUAAGCCAAAAACCCAGUGGAGCAAUGGGCUGGUCCCUUGCCAUGUCCUUUCUGCUUUACUGACACUCAGAGGAGCCCUUCCCCAGCCCCGGGUGUAACCCACUCAGAGCCGGAUGGGCUAGAUAAUGGGAGCUGGGGUUGGGUGGGCUGAAAUGGAAGGACAAGUCCAUGGCCUGUGUGGAUUUUUAGGACAAUCGAUGGGAGUUUGGGGUUUCUGCCUGGGAAAAUCUUCACCCUCUCCAAGGGUUGAUUCAACAGCAUAUAUGACAGCAGAGGAGUGCUAACACUGCCAACAUCCUUUGUGAGCUGAAUCUGACCAGAUUUCUGUGCUGACCAAUAUCACUGAAUUUAGAAUGAUGGGACCCCUGGUCUUUGCCAUCUUCUUGCUACUGCUUUCAGGGACCAUAAUGUCCCCAAAACCAAGAAAAUGGUGUGAUUCUCUGGAAUAUCAGGACUUUGCUUUUUCAGAUCCCAAAACUGGGAACUCUGAAUUCUCAACCAAUGUCAUCUUCAACAAAGAAUUAGUCUACAUAUAUAUGAACUACUAUCAGAGGGCAAAACCUCAACUAGGAUGGGAAAAUGUGGAGAACUGGGAUGAGGUGAGCCAGCUUCAAAAAGAGAGACAAGAUUUGAUGAUGAAACACUUUCAAGAAUUCAUAAACUCAAAAGAAGAUAAUGAAAAUUUAUAUUUCUUUAAACAAGGUUUUGGCUGUUCACUUUGUCCAAAUCGCACUUUCAAGAUAACUUCGUAUUGGGAUUGGAAUACAAGUGGUAUCCAGGGUAUCUUUAAGCAUACAAAGUACCAGUUAACAAAAGAUUCUGAAGCUAAAAUGAACCAAGACCCAGGUGCUGUAACUCUACCCGAAGAAUAUCUGGAGAAACAGUGUUUUGCAACACUCCAAAAAUACCGGAAUUAUAGGAAUGCUCACUAGGACAAACCAGGACAAGAUAUACACAAAAGAGCCAUUGCAUAGGGCCAAAGAAAAGCCAACCCAGGAUGGAUUGAUGCACUACUAAGCCAAUACAAAGGUCUUGAACCUAGUGUGAAGACUCGAGGUUACUGUGUUUAACAUUGUUAAGACAUAGGCUUUCCUUGUGUCCACACUCACUCUGAAAAUAUUUACAGAUGAGUAUCCCCAAUCUUGGCUCCUACUUGGCUUCUAUAAUCUGGUUCCUUUUUUCUGUCUUUCACAGUGUGGUAAUUUUCUGUAGUCCCAGCUGGGUAAAUGCAUCAUUGCUUCGAUCAUUUUAAUUGGGCCCUGAUUCAAGGACCUGUUAUAGAUAUAUUUUUCUUUUAUUUGGAAUUUUUACACAUAAGACUUUGAUAGUCUAUAUUUGCAUCCAGAAAUUUUUCUUUUUUCUUUGGAUUGUUCUGAUGUCUUUUUAAUUUCUCUUACCAAUUGGCUCAUAUACCUCAUACCUCAGCCAUGCAUCCAUAAGUGAUCCUGUGUUUUUUUUUUUCCAAUCACCCACAACACAAGGGAAAUGUAAAAAAUGUUAUUUAAAUUGCAAAGUUUAAACUCCUUUUGAGAAGAAUUUCAGGAAAAGAAAGAUACUACCUCUCUGAAUCCAGAAACUAAAAUGUUGGAGAAGAAACCAUGAAGAAGCCUCCAGACCACAAGCUGCACAAGAAUGAACUUUGGGUGUAAUUGAUUGAAUUUUUUGAAAAUAAUUGAUUGAACUUGAUUGAAUUGAUUGAUUUGUAGUAUACUUUCAUGCCAAAGGGGACUUCCCCCUAACUGGCUUUUUGUCAAUGUGUCCAGCAAUUAUUGGUUCUGUCCUUUUUUUCUCUUAUCCUCAAAUUAUUGUAAUCUUUAAGUUGAUUAUAUUUUCAUGAUCCUUUUGGGGAAAAUAUUUUUUUUCAAAAAUGAUCACACGGGAAAAUUUAAAAAUGGAGACUUGAACCCAGGACUCCAGUCCCCAGAAGUCCUUGCUCACUUCCCAGAAUGCUUUGUAAUUCCACUGAAUCUUUACCUGGACGAGAUCACAAAUUAUUAUUUAAAGAAGUUCUCCACCUACUGCAGGGCUCUUUUUUCUACUUCUGCUUCUGCUUUAGGGAACACAAGGCUCUCCACCUAGCAGGAAAUAUGUUAGCAAUCGUGAAUAGGCUCUCUGGGCCUAGACAUGUGCUUUUUUUACUAGUAUUUUCUUAAAUUCCUUAUCUUAAAUAAAACUCUAAAAAUAUAAUACUCCUUGCA
Molecule: long non-coding RNA, 2206 nt
Organism: Monodelphis domestica (gray short-tailed opossum)
Lineage: Eukaryota; Metazoa; Chordata; Mammalia; Didelphimorphia; Didelphidae
Source: Ensembl